ACCAACCCUACCCGAGCCGCCCCCUCGUCUCUCUUAUCCCCUCCCUCCCUCUCUCUCUCUCUCUCUCUCUCUCAAGCACACAACAGCAACAACUCCGGCCAUGGGAGACCUUCGUCCGGCCGCACCGUGGACGGAGAAGAAGACGAAUCUUGGCUCGAUCUACCGCCUCACCGAUCCAAACUUCAUCGGUUUCCUCUGUACUGACUGACCCAUGGAAUUUUUGCAGAUCCAUUCUUUGCCCAAGGGGAUUACGCAUAACCCAGCGUGUCAAGAUCCACUCGGGCGCACGCGCGUCUUGGGCCACCUCUCCGUUAGUGGGCCGCUGGCAGCCGGCCCAGGCGUGCCGUCAGCCCAAUGGAGGGCCGCAUCCUGCCUGCGAAACACUCGGCCGCCUCCUCGCCCACCCAGUGCGCUGGGGUUUUAGACGCCCACCUGCCACCGCCUCCCCGUCCCCAUUUCGCACCCGUCGGCGAGCCCCUCCCCCUCCCCUCCGCCGCCCCUCUCCUCCAACGCCGCCUGCGCCAGGCGAAGGAUGCCUCCAAUGGCGGGAGAAGGUAACCCUGGUGAGGGAGGAGGAGGUGAGGCGGGAGGAGGAGGAGGUCCGACGGGCCGUGCACCACCGACGCCACCACCGGCCGCUCCAACCUCGACCCAUGGACGGUAAGAUCGCGAAACCCCUUUCCCCG
Molecule: long non-coding RNA, 686 nt
Organism: Triticum dicoccoides
Lineage: Eukaryota; Viridiplantae; Streptophyta; Magnoliopsida; Poales; Poaceae
Exons: 3
Source: RefSeq, a predicted model, not a curated record